Molecule: ribosomal RNA, 460 nt
Filed under: uncultured bacterium
Lineage: Bacteria
Description: partial 16S ribosomal RNA
Rfam family: Bacterial small subunit ribosomal RNA
Source: RNAcentral
CCUACGGGAGGCAGCAGUGAGGAAUAUUGGUCAAUGGGCGAGAGCCUGAACCAGCCAAGUCGCGUGAGGGAAGACGGUCCUACGGGUUGUAAACCUCUUUUGUCGGGGAGCAAAGCGCGCGACGUGUGGUGCGCCGCGAGUACCUGAAGAAAAAGCAUCGGCUAACUCCGUGCCAGCAGCCGCGGUAAUACGGAGGAUGCGAGCGUUAUUCGGAUUUAUUGGGUUUAAAGGGUGCGCAGGCGGAUGCGUCAAGUCAGCGGUAAAAUUGCGGGGCUCAACCCCGCCGAGCCGUUGAAACUGGCCGACUAGAGUGGGCGAGAAGUACGCGGAAUGCGCGGUGUAGCGGUGAAAUGCAUAGAUAUCACGCAGAACUCCGAUUGCGAAGGCAGCAUACCGGCGCCAAACUGACGCUGAGGCACGAAAGCGUGGGGAUCGAACAGGAUUAGAUACCCGGGUAGUC